GGGGAUAUAGUUUAAAUGGCAAAACUUCUAAUGUGGGUUCGAUUCCUGCUAUCCCUA
Molecule: transfer RNA, 57 nt
Filed under: Caudoviricetes sp.
Lineage: Duplodnaviria; Heunggongvirae; Uroviricota; Caudoviricetes
Description: tRNA-OTHER
Rfam family: tRNA
About the family: Transfer RNA (tRNA) molecules are approximately 80 nucleotides in length.
Source: RNAcentral